This 119-nucleotide ribosomal RNA is filed under the name Helianthus annuus (common sunflower). The record is from RNAcentral. Lineage: Eukaryota; Viridiplantae; Streptophyta; Magnoliopsida; Asterales; Asteraceae.
GGUUGCGAUCAUACCAGCACUAAUGCACCGGAUCCCAUCAGAACUCCGCAGUUAAGCGUGCUUGGGCGAGAGUAGUACUAGGAAGGGUGACCCCCUGGGAAGUCCUCGUGUUGCAACCC